Molecule: ribosomal RNA, 253 nt
Filed under: uncultured bacterium
Lineage: Bacteria
Description: partial 16S ribosomal RNA
Rfam family: Bacterial small subunit ribosomal RNA
Source: RNAcentral
UACGUAGGUGGCAAGCGUUGUCCGGAUUUACUGGGUGUAAAGGGCGUGCAGCCGGAGAGACAAGUCAGAUGUGAAAUCCACGGGCUCAACCCGUGAACUGCAUUUGAAACUGUUUCCCUUGAGUGUCGGAGAGGUAAUCGGAAUUCCUUGUGUAGCGGUGAAAUGCGUAGAUAUAAGGAAGAACACCAGUGGCGAAGGCGGAUUACUGGACGAUAACUGACGCUGAAGCACGAAAGCGUGGGGAUCGAACAGG